CCAUUAUCAGGCAUCUGGAGGACUCCUUGUACAACUGUAGAGAUUUCUGGAAUACAAACUCUUCUUCUGGUGAGAGUCACCCAGAACCAGACUAGUCCAUUCCUUCAACAGGAUAUAAACUUCAAGACAAAGGCCCUCCCACUUACGCUGGUCUUAGGAGGGGCCUGGAUUCUGUAGUGCAGCAAGAAAAGUUUGAAAAGCUGAUUGACAUCCCUCAAACCAAGAUUCUACAGAGGUUGUGGGGUCAGGAUUCUAAGACAGUUGGGGGGAACUGACAACUGUCUCACUCAAGCUGGGUGGCCAACUGAGUGGCUGUGUGUCAAAGCGUCUCCUGAAGAAACCAAUUUAGGAGCUGCCGAGGACUUGGAUUAUCUUUUGAAGGUUGAAUGAGGGUUCCCCUCCACUGUGGUGGACAGUUGUGAAUGAUUAUGGACCUCUUCCCUUUCUGAACCUUGUGAAGACCCUACAUCUUGAUCCUGCUGUUUUGACCCAACCAAAGACUCUGGCAUUUAGUCAGAGUGUGGGGAAAACCCAAGCUCUUCUGGAAUUUGAGUCAACAUUCGUCUCGUAAAAGAACUUCUAAAGUCGUCAGUGUAGAAUACUCUACUAAACUUCAUGGAAUUAUAAUCUAUGGCAGUGGAGAGAUAGCAACCAAGUUGAUCAAAUCACAGACCCUUGAAGCAUCAAGAAUCUAAACUCAUGGCGUCUAGGGAUUGUUUCAUUAUUUGUACUUCUAUCUCCAGUACCUAGCACACAUCAUACUUGCUUAAUAAAUGUUUGUUGAUUGAUUGAUCUAGUUCUUUU
This 804-nucleotide long non-coding RNA is filed under the name Monodelphis domestica (gray short-tailed opossum). RNAcentral's name for it is "lncRNA (ENSMODG00000049147.1)". Lineage: Eukaryota; Metazoa; Chordata; Mammalia; Didelphimorphia; Didelphidae. The record is from RNAcentral.